This 253-nucleotide ribosomal RNA is filed under the name uncultured bacterium. RNAcentral describes it as "partial 16S ribosomal RNA". It matches the Rfam family "Bacterial small subunit ribosomal RNA", at positions 524 to 776 of the family's 1533-position model. The record is from RNAcentral.
UACGUAGGUGGCAAGCGUUGUCCGGAUUUACUGGGCGUAAAGGGCGUGCAGGCGGUUUGUUAAGUCUAGGGUGAAAGCUCCCGGCUCAACUGGGAGAGGUCCUUGGAUACUGGCAGACUUGAGGAGGGUAGAGGAGAGUGGAAUUCCCGGUGUAGUGGUGAUAUGCGCAGAUAUCAGGAGGAACACCGGUGGCGAAGGCGGGUCUCUGGGCCGAUACUGACGCUGAGGAGCGAAAGCGUGGGGAGCGAACAGG